AUUGAACGCUGGCGGCAGGCCUAACACAUGCAAGUCGAACGGUAGCAUAGAGAGCUUGCUCUCGGGUGACGAGUGGCGGACGGGUGAGUAACGUCUGGGAAACUGCCCGAUGGAGGGGGAUAACUACUGGAAACGGUAGCUAAUACCGCAUAACGUCGCAAGACCAAAGUGGGGGACCUUCGGGCCUCACACCAUCGGAUGUGCCCAGAUGGGAUUAGCUAGUAGGUGGGGUAAUGGCUCACCUAGGCGACGAUCCCUAGCUGGUCUGAGAGGAUGACCAGCCACACUGGAACUGGGACACGGUCCAGACUCCUACGGGAGGCAGCAGUGGGGAAUAUUGCACAAUGGGCGCAAGCCUGAUGCAGCCAUGCCGCGUGUAUGAAGAAGGCCUUCGGGUUGUAAAGUACUUUCAGCGGGGAGGAAGGCGGUGAAGUUAAUAGCUUCACCGAUUGACGUUACCCGCAGAAGAAGCACCGGCUAACUCCGUGCCAGCAGCCGCAGUAA
RNAcentral lists this ribosomal RNA (504 nucleotides) under uncultured bacterium. RNAcentral describes it as "partial 16S ribosomal RNA". It matches the Rfam family "Bacterial small subunit ribosomal RNA", at positions 30 to 523 of the family's 1533-position model. The record is from RNAcentral.